CUGAAAACCUGUUACUACUUCUACUGAGAUGUUAACCUCUGCUACUACUUUUUACUAGAAUGUUAACCCUUGCUACUACUUCUAUUGGAAUUAACUACUACUACACUAAGUUAUUGAAAACCUGUUAUUGUACCAUUUACUGAAAAAUCUCAAAAUGAUAGACUUUUCUCUUCUAAAAACAUAUUUAAUUAGUAUAAGGUUAGUUUGGUAAAUUAAAACAUGACACAUGGCAUGCAUAAAAAAGAUUGUCCUUAAUUAUUAAAACUGUCCUUAUUUAUUUAACAACACAAGUGGAUUUAUUUGUGUUUCAAAUCUUUUUAGAGGAUGUAUAUGUGAUUUGCUAUAUUUUUUACAUAAAAUUAUGACAGAUUUAGUGCACAAAUGUUAGUUUGUUCGAAAACCAGAUUUUGGACCGAAGUUUUCUUUUGAGGCACGGAUCACAUGCACCAACAAGCCCAUGGACGAGACCCUAACCCUCAUGAAAGCUAAAGAAAGACUUCUAAUUAGUUUUGAGGACUAACUAAAGAGUAAAUGACACUUUAGUACUAAUUUUAAAGGUUUAUUGCCCAUUCCAAUGAAAAUCUCUUUACCAACCCCAUUCCAAUGAAUUCUAAUAAAAGGACGUCAUUACCCUUGACCUCAUUUAACUCUAUUUCUCUGUUUCUCACUUUCUCCUCUCUUUAUCCCGAUCAAAAACUCUCUCUCU
This 706-nucleotide long non-coding RNA is filed under the name Fragaria vesca (wild strawberry). RNAcentral's name for it is "long non-coding RNA (FVES_LNC002231)". The record is from RNAcentral. Lineage: Eukaryota; Viridiplantae; Streptophyta; Magnoliopsida; Rosales; Rosaceae.